UCAGGGUAAUUAUGGAAUUGAUUUUUUUUGAGGGGUUUGUACAAAAUUUUCCCUGAAAAGAAUUCUGGCUCCUAAGCCGCCUUUUCCUUAGUGAAGUUAGUCCACUUCCAUAUGCUUUGUUUUCUCAUGAAAGACGGUGUUCUCAAACUUUGAAUGACUGCUUCAGUAUCACAAUAAUGAUUCAUUGGUAAUAGAACUUUAACACCCAGAUCCACCAAUAUUCUCUAAACUUACCUAAUUUCACAAGUACCUUGCGCCAUGUAUUCUAGUUAGCACUUGAUCUGGCCAGUGCAUUCCUUUUUUUUUUUUACUCUUCCAGGAGACCAAAUAACCACCGACAAAAGUACAUACCUCGUAGUUGACCUUCCUUAAGUCUGGCCCAGCCCAAUCAACAUCAGUGUAGACUGUAACAUCCAUAUGACCACGAUCGGUAAAUGACAACUCUCCAUAGAGAAGACUUGAGAUACUAUAGAAUAAACUGGACAACAUCAAAAU
Molecule: long non-coding RNA, 495 nt
Filed under: Amborella trichopoda
Lineage: Eukaryota; Viridiplantae; Streptophyta; Magnoliopsida; Amborellales; Amborellaceae
Description: long non-coding RNA (ATRI_LNC003084)
Source: RNAcentral